GAGUUUGAACCUGGCUCAGGAUGAACGCUGGCGGCGUGCCUAAUACAUGCAAGUCGAGCGAACCACUUCGGUGGUGAGCGGCGAACGGGUGAGUAACACGUAGGUGAUCUGCCCAUCAGACGGGGACAACGAUUGGAAACGAUCGCUAAUACCGGAUAGGACGAAAGUUUAAAGGUGCUUCUGGCACCGCUGAUGGAUGAGCCUGCGGCGCAUUAGCUAGUUGGUAGGGUAAAGGCCUACCAAGGCGACGAUGCGUAGCCGACCUGAGAGGGUGAACGGCCACACUGGGACUGAGACACGGCCCAGACUCCUACGGGAGGCAGCAGUAGGGAAUCUUCGGCAAUGGGCGAAAGCCUGACCGAGCAACGCCGCGUGAAUGAUGAAGGCCUUCGGGUUGUAAAAUUCUGUUAUAAGGGAGGAACGACUUUAGUAGGAAAUGGCUAGAGUGUGACGGUACCUUAUGAGAAAGCCACGGCUAACUACGUGCCAGCAGCCGCGGUAAUACGUAGGUGGCGAGCGUUAUCCGGAAUUAUUGGGCGUAAAGAGCGCGCAGGUGGUUGAUUAAGUCUGAUGUGAAAGCCCACGGCUUAACCGUGGAGGGUCAUUGGAAACUGGUCGACUUGAGUGCAGAAGA
This 634-nucleotide ribosomal RNA is filed under the name uncultured bacterium. Its description in RNAcentral is "bacterial SSU rRNA". It matches the Rfam family "Bacterial small subunit ribosomal RNA", at positions 9 to 655 of the family's 1533-position model. The record is from RNAcentral.